AGAGUUUGAUCCUGGCUCAGAACGAACGCUGGCGGCAGGCCUAACACAUGCAAGUCGAGCGGCACCUUCGGGUGUAGCGGCGGACGGGUUAGUAACGCGUGGGAACGUGCCCUUCUCUACGGAAUAGCCUCGGGAAACUGAGAGUAAUACCGUAUACGCCCUUCGGGGGAAAGAUUUAUCGGAGAAGGAUCGGCCCGCGUCUGAUUAGAUAGUUGGUGGGGUAAUGGCCUACCAAGUCUACGAUCAGUAGCUGGUUUUAGAGGAUGAUCAGCAACACUGGGACUGAGACACGGCCCAGACUCCUACGGGAGGCAGCAGUGGGGAAUCUUAGACAAUGGGCGCAAGCCUGAUCUAGCCAUGCCGCGUGAGUGAUGAAGGCCUUAGGGUCGUAAAGCUCUUUCGCCAGAGAUGAUAAUGACAGUAUCUGGUAAAGAAACCCCGGCUAACUCCGUGCCAGCAGCCGCGGUAAUACGGAGGGGGUUAGCGUUGUUCGGAAUUACUGGGCGUAAAGCGCACGUAGGCGGAUCAGAAAGUUGGGGGUGAAAUCCCAGGGCUCAACCCUGGAACGGCCUCCAAAACUCCUGGUCUUGAGUUCGAGAGAGGUGAGUGGAAUUCCGAGUGUAGAGGUGAAAUUCGUAGAUAUUCGGAGGAACACCAGUGGCGAAGGCGGCUCACUGGCUCGAUACUGACGCUGAG
This 696-nucleotide ribosomal RNA is filed under the name uncultured bacterium. RNAcentral describes it as "bacterial SSU rRNA". It matches the Rfam family "Bacterial small subunit ribosomal RNA", at positions 8 to 750 of the family's 1533-position model. The record is from RNAcentral.